This 260-nucleotide ribosomal RNA is filed under the name uncultured bacterium. Its description in RNAcentral is "partial small subunit ribosomal RNA". It matches the Rfam family "Bacterial small subunit ribosomal RNA", at positions 26 to 285 of the family's 1533-position model. The record is from RNAcentral.
AGGACGAACGCUGGCGGCGUGCUUAACACAUGCAAGUCGAGCGAGGCCCACCUUUCGGGGUGGUGUCCUAGCGGCGAACGGGUGAGUAACACGUGGGCAACCUGCCCUCAGCUCUGGGAUAACUCCAAGAAAUUGGGGCUAAUACCGGAUAUGACUGCUGACCGCAUGGUCUGGUGGUGGAAAGAUUUAUCGGCUGGGGAUGGGCCCGCGGCCUAUCAGCUUGUUGGUGGGGUGAUGGCCUACCAAGGCGACGACGGGUA